AUUUUUUUUUUCUUUUAAACAAAAUUCCAAAUCAAAGAGCCCUAAUAUUAAACCCUUUUAAAUUUUAAUCUAAAUGUUGAAUAAAGUGUUUUUAAUUUAGUUUUGUAAUAGUGAUUACUGAAAAAAUUAGCAAAGAGGAAAUUUUUUUUAGGGAUCAAAUAUUUUUAUGAUGAUUGAAACGGGGGUGGUGGUUGAUUAUUUGGUGCCGUCGUGGUGGGAGGUCAAAGUGGCGGUCGCGGCGUCGGUGUUCGUGAUCGUUUCUUAUUGGUUUUUUGCAUUACAAGGCAAAGAUGGCGACGGCGGUGAUCGAUCGCAGGUUUCGGAGAGUUCUGCUGAAGGAAUUCUUGACGAAAAAGAGAAGAUAGUCCAUUCGAAAGGAGAUGUCCAAACUAAUUCUCGAUAUCUAAUCAAGGUGGAAUUGCUGGCAGCUAAGAAUCUUAUUGGUGCUAACUUGAAUGGCACUUCAGAUCCUUAUGCUAUCAUUACUUGUGGUUCUGAAAAGAGAUUCAGUUCGAUGGUUCCUGGUUCAAGAAACCCCAUGUGGGGAGAGGAGUUCGAUUUCUCUGUAGAUGAGCUUCCUGUACAGAUAAAUGUGACCAUAUAUGACUGGGAUAUAAUUUGGAAGAGUGCUGUUCUCGGUUCAGUUACAAUUCUGGUUGACACUGAAGGUCAAAGUGAUGCGGUAUGGCAUACUUUAGAUAGCACAUCUGGACAGGUCUGUCUACAUAUCAAAACUAUAAAACUCCCCGUGAAUUCCAGGGGUAUGAAUGGAUAUGCUGGAGCUAAUACUCGAAGAAGGAUUUCUUCAGAUAAACAAGGACCUACUGUGGUUCAUCAAAAGCCAGGGCCUUUACAAACAAUAUUUAAUCUCCUUCCAGAUGAGGUUGUGGAGCAUAGUUACUCAUGUGCGCUUGAGAGAUCAUUCUUGUACCAUGGUCGUAUGUAUGUCUCCGCAUGGCACAUUUGUUUCCAUUCUAAUGUGUUCUCAAAACAAAUGAAGGUGGUGAUACCAUUUGGGGAUAUAGAUGAGAUUCGUAGAAGUCAGCAUGCAUUCAUUAAUCCUGCAAUAACAAUUAUUCUUCGCAUGGGUGCUGGUGGGCAUGGUGUACCUCCAUUGGGGAGCUCCGAUGGUAGAGUCAGGUAUAAAUUUGCAUCAUUUUGGAACCGGAACCAUGCAUUAAGAGCAUUACAGCGCGCAUCAAAGAACUACCAUACAAUGUUGGAAGCUGAAAAGAAGGAAAUAGCAGAAUCAGCAUUGCGUGCACACAGCAGCUCUAUUAGAGGUAGUAGAAGGCAAGCUACGGCUCCCAAAGAUAAUGCAUCUAAACCUGAAAAAUCACAAGCUUUUAUCAAAGAAGAAGUUCUUGUUGGUAUCUACAAUGAUGUAUUUCUGUGCACUGCAGAGCAGUUUUAUAAUUUGUUAUUAAGUGAUGACUCUAGUUUUACUAAUGAGUAUCGUGCAGUACGGAAGGAUACAAAUCUUUCGAUGGGACAGUGGCACCCUGCUGAUGAAUAUGACGGCCUAGUGAGAGAGAUAACAUUCAGAACCAUUUGUAACAGUCCCAUGUGUCCUCCAGACACUGCCAUGACAGAGUACCAGCGUUCCAUUUUAUCACCCGAUAAGAAAAAGCUUGUUUUUGAAACUGUACAACAGGCACACGAUGUUCCAUUCGGCAGCUACUUCGAGGUACAUUGCCGAUGGUGUGUGGAGACCAAUGGCGAAAAUUCAUCCAUUCUAGAUGUAAAAGUGGGUAGGUUUUCUGUUGGCUUUUCAUCUCUUGAAAACGUUUUCUAAUACAAAGAUCCAUUGGUCCUUGAACGCCACAAUAGGGUAGCCCUCUCCCAUCCUGCAAAAUCCACCCAUCAUUGCAAAGGGUUCAAACCGAGACUUCCAGAUCAGUCUUAAGUUCUAGCUUCUAGGGUGUCCCCUUGGAUACAUCUCUUGACAAAUAUUUCCGGCAGCAAUAGCUCUUCUCCUAGUCAAACUCUUUUUCGAAGACUGUCUUUCAAUUUUUACCAGUAUGAAAUUUAGUUGGCGCAUGCGACAGACAAUGGUGAAAGUAAAGAACAUCCAAAGCACAUCCUUUCCCAUUAAAGUGCACAUUUCAAGAAAUGGUGUGUGAUGCAAUCGAAAAUUAGAUCAGGCGCUAUCAACGAGUACAAGAAAGAGGUAGAGGUGAUGUUAGAUGUCGCCCGCUCUUAUAUCAAAUCACAUGCAACCGGUGGUGAGACCAAUAACUCAUC
This is an RNA transcript of Gossypium raimondii (Peruvian cotton), 2244 nucleotides long. It is a transcript of the gene named BAG-associated GRAM protein 1-like, with no coding region annotated. The transcript is spliced from 18 exons. The record is from RefSeq and is a predicted model, not a curated record. Lineage: Eukaryota; Viridiplantae; Streptophyta; Magnoliopsida; Malvales; Malvaceae.